UGGGGAAUAUUGGACAAUGGGCGAAAGCCUGAUCCAGCAAUGCCGCGUGAGUGAUGAAGGCCUUAGGGUUGUAAAGCUCUUUUACCAGGGAUGAUAAUGACAGUACCUGGAGAAUAAGCUCCGGCUAACUCCGUGCCAGCAGCCGCGGUAAUACGGAGGGAGCUAGCGUUAUUCGGAAUUACUGGGCGUAAAGCGUACGUAGGCGGUUAUUCAAGUCAGAGGUGAAAGCCCGGGGCUCAACCCCGGAACUGCCUUUGAAACUAGAUAACUAGAGUCUUGGAGAGGUUAGUGGAAUUCCGAGUGUAGAGGUGAAAUUCGUAGAUAUUCGGAAGAACACCAGUGGCGAAGGCGACUAACUGGACAAGUACUGACGCUGAGGUACGAAAGCGUGGGGAGCAAACA
This 402-nucleotide ribosomal RNA is filed under the name uncultured Parablastomonas sp. RNAcentral's name for it is "bacterial SSU rRNA". It matches the Rfam family "Bacterial small subunit ribosomal RNA", at positions 355 to 774 of the family's 1533-position model. Lineage: Bacteria; Pseudomonadati; Pseudomonadota; Alphaproteobacteria; Sphingomonadales; Sphingomonadaceae. The record is from RNAcentral.